This 797-nucleotide ribosomal RNA is filed under the name uncultured bacterium. RNAcentral's name for it is "bacterial SSU rRNA". It matches the Rfam family "Bacterial small subunit ribosomal RNA", at positions 8 to 796 of the family's 1533-position model. The record is from RNAcentral.
AGAGUUUGAUCCUGGCUCAGAUUGAACGCUGGCGGAAUGCUUUACACAUGCAAGUCGAACGGCAGCACGGGUGCUUGCACCUGGUGGCGAGUGGCGAACGGGUGAGUAAUGCACCGGAACGUACCCAGUAAUGGGGGAUAACUAUCCGAAAGGAUAGCUAAUACCGCAUACGCCCUGAGGGGGAAAGCGGGGGAUUCGUAAGAACCUCGCGUUAUUGGAGCGGCCGAUGCCGGAUUAGCUAGUUGGUGGGGUAAAGGCCCACCAAGGCGACGAUCCGUAGCUGGUCUGAGAGGACGACCAGCCACACUGGAACUGAGACACGGUCCAGACUCCUACGGGAGGCAGCAGUGGGGAAUUUUGGACAAUGGGCGAAAGCCUGAUCCAGCCAUUCCGCGUGAGUGAAGAAGGCCUUCGGGUUGUAAAGCUCUUUCGCAAGGAAAGAAAACUUAUCCAUUAAUACUGGGUGAGGUUGACGGUACCUUGAUAAGAAGCACCGGCUAACUACGUGCCAGCAGCCGCGGUAAUACGUAGGGUGCGAGCGUUAAUCGGAAUUACUGGGCGUAAAGCGUGCGCAGGCGGUUUGACAAGUCUGAUGUGAAAUCCCCGGGCUCAACCUGGGAACUGCGUUGGAAACUGUCAGGCUAGAGUGUAGCAGAGGGGGGUAGAAUUCCACGUGUAGCAGUGAAAUGCGUAGAUAUGUGGAGGAACACCAGUGGCGAAGGCGACUUUCUGGACUGUAACUGACGCUGAGGCGCGAAAGCGUGGGGAGCAAACAGGAUUAGAUACCCUGGUAGUCC